RNAcentral lists this ribosomal RNA (416 nucleotides) under uncultured Porphyromonadaceae bacterium. RNAcentral's name for it is "bacterial SSU rRNA". It matches the Rfam family "Bacterial small subunit ribosomal RNA", at positions 355 to 769 of the family's 1533-position model. Lineage: Bacteria; Pseudomonadati; Bacteroidota; Bacteroidia; Bacteroidales; Porphyromonadaceae. The record is from RNAcentral.
UGGGGGAUAUUGCACAAUGGGGGGAAACCCUGAUGCAGCAACGCCGCGUGAGGGAUGAAGGUUUUCGGAUUGUAAACCUCUUUUGUCGGGGAGUAAUAGGCGGGACGUGUCCUGCUGUGAGAGUACCCGAAGAAAAAGCAUCGGCUAACUCCGUGCCAGCAGCCGCGGUAAUACGGAGGAUGCGAGCGUUAUCCGGAUUUAUUGGGUUUAAAGGGUGCGCAGGCGGCGUGCCAAGUCAGCGGUCAAAGUUCCGGGCUCAACCCGGUGAUGCCGUUGAAACUGGUGUGCUUGAGUGCGUGCGAGGGAGGCGGAAUGCGUUGUGUAGCGGUGAAAUGCAUAGAUAUGACGCAGAACUCCGAUUGCGAAGGCAGCUUUCCAGCACGCCACUGACGCUGAGGCACGAAAGCGUGGGGAUC